AUUGAACGCUGGCGGCAUGCUUUACACAUGCCAGUCGAACGGCAGCGCGGGCUUCGGCCUGGCGGCGAGUGGCGAACGGGUGAGUAAUACAUCGGAACGUGCCCAGUAGUGGGGGAUAGCUCGGCGAAAGCCGGAUUAAUACCGCAUACGACCUGAGGGUGAAAGCGGGGGAUCUUCGGACCUCGCGCUAUUGGAGCGGCCGAUGGCAGAUUAGCUAGUUGGUGGGGUAAAGGCCUACCAAGGCGACGAUCUGUAGCUGGUCUGAGAGGACGACCAGCCACACUGGGACUGAGACACGGCCCAGACUCCUACGGGAGGCAGCAGUGGGGAAUUUUGGACAAUGGGCGAAAGCCUGAUCCAGUAAUGCCGCGUGUGUGAUGAAGGCCUUCGGGUUGUAAAGCACUUUUGGCGGGAACGAAAAGGACUGUGCCAAUACCACGGUUCGAUGACGGUACCCGCAGAAUAAGCACCGGCUAACUACGUG
Molecule: ribosomal RNA, 484 nt
Filed under: uncultured bacterium
Lineage: Bacteria
Description: partial 16S ribosomal RNA
Rfam family: Bacterial small subunit ribosomal RNA
Source: RNAcentral